This is a non-coding RNA of Paramuricea clavata, 381 nucleotides long. Lineage: Eukaryota; Metazoa; Cnidaria; Anthozoa; Malacalcyonacea; Plexauridae. The record is from the annotation of a GenBank genome assembly.
GUAUUCACAAGCAAACAUCACUAUUCAGUUAUAUUCGAUAUUCUUUAACGGCCAGUUGUGUAAAUGAGAUAAUCUCAAGAGUUAGAAACAGAAGAUUGACAAAUAAACAUGGCCAAUGAGCAAACAGAAGAGAGCGAAUGUGCUCUCAGCAACGAUAAAUUAAAAGAGCAGGGUCAUCCAAAUGGAAAUACAGCAAAUAAAGAGAACGCUUCUGGCAUUGACGACCAGUGUGCAACUUCUGACAUCGUAGUUAAUAUGAUUGCAGCGGAACCAAACCCGAAGAGAAGUAUUGCUAAGAUGUUUGAAACAAGCUUUGGUUUGAUUGGAGCACAUGGAAGCGUCAGGAAGGAAUUGUUUAUUAACGCUGUCAAGCAAAUCGAG